UACGUAGGGGGCGAGCGUUAUCCGGAUUCAUUGGGCGUAAAGCGCGCGUAGGCGGCCGCCUAAGCGGAACCUCUAACCCCGGGGCUCAACCUCGGGCCGGGUUCCGGACUGGGCGACUCGAGUGCGGUAGAGGAGAGCGGAAUUCCCGGUGUAGCGGUGGAAUGCGCAGAUAUCGGGAAGAACACCGAUGGCGAAGGCAGCUCUCUGGGCCGUCACUGACGCUGAGGCGCGAAAGCUGGGGGAGCGAGCAGG
Molecule: ribosomal RNA, 252 nt
Filed under: uncultured bacterium
Lineage: Bacteria
Description: partial 16S ribosomal RNA
Rfam family: Bacterial small subunit ribosomal RNA
Source: RNAcentral